UACAGAGGGGGCAAGCGUUGUUCGGAAUUACUGGGCGUAAAGGGCGCGUAGGCGGCCUGUUAAGUCGAACGUGAAAUCCCUGGGCUCAACCCAGGAACUGCGUCCAAGACUGGGAGGCUUGAAUCCGGGAGAGGGAUGCGGAAUUCCAGGUGUAGCGGUGAAAUGCGUAGAUAUCUGGAGGAACACCGGUGGCGAAGGCGGCAUCCUGGACCGGUAUUGACACUGAGGCGCGAAAGCCAGGGGAGCAAACGGG
RNAcentral lists this ribosomal RNA (253 nucleotides) under uncultured bacterium. RNAcentral's name for it is "partial 16S ribosomal RNA". It matches the Rfam family "Bacterial small subunit ribosomal RNA", at positions 524 to 776 of the family's 1533-position model. The record is from RNAcentral.